GACAAAAUUUUGACUAUUUUUCAUUUCUCCAAGUUUUUUGGGGGAUGUGAUCUUUGUCUAUAAGACCAAGAACCUAUUUAUUUUAAAAGUAAUGCUCCUGAUCCAGGUAAGAAUCAGUUUUGAAAUGUUUCUAAAGUUAUCUUAAUUAAACUGGCCUGUACUGGAUUUUUAAAAGAGGGUACAGCUUUAAAAUACCAUUUUUGUUAAGGUCGGAUGUAAUUGAAAAUAGAAUUGCCAUCAUUCAACCAUACUCUUGUGUGCCUCCACAAUUAAGAGUGAACCUGCGGGGCCUCCGUAAUCUUCAUUUGCAGCCACAUUGAGCCUGGCCUUGUUGGCGUGUGGUCUGGCACUUGUGACUCUUUAGUAUGAAAUUGCUAACGAGUAAACCUUUUCAUGUGGAGUCAUAAUGCACCGGUUUUACUUUCUGAUUUUAAGAAGUAUUCAUAGAACCUGAAGUAUUCCUUGUUCUCCAGUGGGUCUUUUCAGAUUCAACACAGAAGAGGAGGGACAAACUGGUAAGAUUAAGUGAUAACUGCAUUUAUAUACUGUUAUUAAGAGGGUUUUUCAUCAUCGAUGUGAAACAAAAUCCACUUUAUACCAUAUUUGCAGUGUGACUGCAGAUCCAAACUGUCAGCCGUCUGUUGUGAGAAUUCUGUCUUGCCACUACUGUUCUCUGCAGCAUAGAUUUGCACCUCUAGUGUGAACACCCGAAAAGGGGCCUUUUGUAUUAGGCAAUGUUUUUCUUUUGGGUUGUGAGAAGGUUGAACCCAGGACCUUUGAACUGAGCUGCAUCCCUAACCCUUUUUUUUUUUUUUUUUCCCAUUUGUUUUGAAACGAGCUCUCACUAAAUGGCUGACUUACCUAAGUUGUACUCAGACUUGCAGUCCUCCCGCCUCAGCCUCCCAGAGUGCUGGGAUGACAGGAUACCUAAAUUAUAACUACGGUACACCAGGGAGUAUCGAUCUGUUUUGAAGAUUUCUCACCUGCUUGUCAGGAACCUGGUACCUGCGCAUUCUUUCAUUAGCAUCAUUGUGCAUAAGGAUGAGUGGUAUAUGCCUGGUUACCCAUAAGUGUAGGUGUCUGGUUAAAUUACUCUCAGAAAUUCCAUGACUCCCCCCUUCCAAUAAAAUGUUUACUGCUGAAAAUUCAUUUUUUCCAUGUAAAUUCUCAAGGGGAAUUUUAAGUAUUUAGAACUGUCAAGCAAAUGAAAAGGAUACUUCCGUGGUUUACCUAACAACUGCCUCUUAAAUGCAGAUAGUACUUGACUUUUCUGUGUGUUCCCAGGUGCUGCAGACACCCCACUAUGGUUUGUGAGAUUUGUGGUUAACAGGAACGGAAGUUAAGUUCAGGACAAAGAUCAUGACGAAGUCCCCUUACAAGCUCCAGCUGACCUUAGAGGCACAACCUAUACUCAUCCUCCUACUUGCCAUUCUUCUGGAAGCUUUUUCUUGGGGAACACCUCCAGUAGGCUGAACAUUGACUGGGAAAAUCAGGCUCCAGUAACCCUACCAGGCUCUUAUAAAACAUUUGGCAUUGAGUGGAAAUGAAAGUUAAAAGCGGUGACACACGACAUCACAGUAAUAAUAGUAAUAAUGAUAGUAAA
Long non-coding RNA from Chinchilla lanigera (long-tailed chinchilla), 1603 nucleotides. RefSeq lists it as uncharacterized. The transcript has 3 exons. The record is from RefSeq and is a predicted model, not a curated record. Lineage: Eukaryota; Metazoa; Chordata; Mammalia; Rodentia; Chinchillidae.